UUCCACCAGUUUGUCCACCGGUGAAAAGGAGAAGCCAGCCAAGAACCAGCAGCUUCUGGCUACCUUGAUCAGAAGGUUGAUGAAGGCAAUGAAACAAAGAUGGAAAAACACAUCACACAGGCCCUUACCAGAUGCCAGCAUCUUGAUAUUGGACUUCCCAGCCUUCAGAACUCAAUUACAAAGAUAUGCUAAUGCUCUGCACCAAGUGGCAGCUACAUGCUUGAGACCAACACUGAAAAUCAGUCAUGGAAUCACUGCAUAUCUGAACAAGGGCCACGAGAGGAGGCACAGAUGGGUCAACUGACUUGAGCAGAGCCACCCAGCAAAUUCAGCGUCGGAGUAUGCUUCCCUUGCCUGAGAAUCGUUACAAAGAGGAGCAUCUGAUGAGGAAAUGAGAACUCCAGCCAGAAACCAGCAAUAAAUUGAGGGCUCCUAUAUGAGCAAUGCAUUCUCCAGCCCCAAUCAAGCCUUUGGAUAACUGCAGCUCCUGCCAGCAUUUUGACUGCACUUCAUGAAACACUUUGAGUCAGAGCCACCUACCUAAGCCACUCCAAAAUUCCUGACCGUCAAAAACUUUGAGAUAAUAAAUGCUUGUUGUUUUAAACUAC
Long non-coding RNA from Homo sapiens (human), 608 nucleotides. Ensembl annotates it as long intergenic non-protein coding RNA 1423. The record is from Ensembl. NCBI's taxonomy places the organism in Eukaryota, Metazoa, Chordata, Mammalia, Primates, Hominidae.